GAUGAACGCUGGCGGCGUGCCUAAUACAUGCAAGUCGAGCGAACGGACGAGAAGCUUGCUUUUCUGAUGUUAGCGGCGGACGGGUGAGUAACACGUGGAUAACCUACCUAUAAGUCUGGGAUAACUUCGGGAAACCGGAGCUAACAGCGGAUAAUAUCUUGAACCGCAUUGUUCAACAGUGAAAGACGGUCUUGCUGUCACUUAUAGAUGGAUCCGCGCUGCAUUAGCUAGUUGGUAAGGUAACGGCUUACCAAGGCCACGAUGCAUAGCCGACCUGAGAGGGUGAUCGGCCACACUGGAACUGAGACACGGCCCAGACUCCUACGGGAGGCAGCAGUAGGGAAUCUUCGGCAAUGGGCGAAAGCCUGACGGAGCAACGCCGCGUGAGUGAAGAAGGUCUUCGGAUCGUAAAACUCUGUUAUUAGGGAAGAACAAGUGUGUAAGUAACUGAGCACAUCUUGACGGUACCUAAUCAGAAAGCCACGGCUAACUACGUG
Molecule: ribosomal RNA, 497 nt
Filed under: uncultured bacterium
Lineage: Bacteria
Description: partial 16S ribosomal RNA
Rfam family: Bacterial small subunit ribosomal RNA
Source: RNAcentral